Cyprinus carpio (common carp) is the source of this 835-nucleotide long non-coding RNA. NCBI's taxonomy places the organism in Eukaryota, Metazoa, Chordata, Actinopteri, Cypriniformes, Cyprinidae. The record is from Ensembl.
AUGAGCUUCAUCUGGCUGCAGUGCUGUAUGGGACUUGCUCGGGAAGAAGGUCUCCAAAGAAGUGUGUUUUUGGUUGUAAGGGAAAGAUAACUUGUUCAGCUUCCUAAGGAACCCAGCGUUAUGUAAACGGCAGAUACAGUUGUUUUCCGGGGCAGCAAAGGAGUUUCACAAGUUUUGUUGUUGACGAAUGUUUUAUAAACAAGGCCCAGUUCGAUGCUGGAUUUGCACAUCGUUUGAUUCUGAAGAUGGAGCGGUCCCAGCUAUAAAAGAUCCUGGUCGUGAUUCAGAACUGCAGACGAGAAAUUGGACUGCACCUCCCUUUCCUGCCAGUUUGGUUGCCGUAUUGAAAGAGAUGGUGAAAUGGGCUUUUUGUGUCCUCCAGGGCUCCACUUGGCUUCAGAUAACAGAACCUGCAAAGAAUGUACAGGGGUGAAGAAUGAGGUCAGGAGAAGAGUUAAAAACCUUCAUGAAACCAUUUUUAUCUGGAAUUCCCAAAGACUCUUCAAAAACCGUGCCAGAAAACUGCAUAAAAGCUGCAUCUACAGGAGUAUUUACACCUAGUCACUUCAUGUGUUUUUACUAAAUAGAUUGCUAUUUGAUCAUGAAAACACAAGUGUAAAUGCCCUCUAAGACACAUUUUAGAUGGAGGUCCUGAGGAGGUUGUUUGAUGUGCAUACAAGAGGCAACUGAGCCACUUACGGAUCUGGUUGUUCAAGCUACAUGUAUAAACCUCUGAAAUGGAACUAGGCCAACUCCAAAAUCCACAUGUGAGGGUCUCUUUUCAUCAAGGGAAUGUGCAAACUGACACAAAUAAAAUAAAAUUAACAGCAUUGCA